UCAUAAGUUUCCGUAUUAUCAUCCAUACAAAAACUUGCUUCUAACUAAAUUAAACAUAGCUUACCUUAAACUUAAGACCGGGAUCAUGUCUUGUGUUGUGAGCUCAUCUCUUGCCUAGUUGUAAAUUUUGUAAAUAUGUACAAUCCAAUUUUCUUGAUAAACCCGAAGUUAUUUGUGCAAAGAGGAACGCAGCCGUAAACUAUUGUUUCAAACAAAGAUCUUGAGUGGAUAGCCUCGCUUUCAAAACGUUUUUGAGUAAGAUGGCGGAUACGUGUUAAUCUCCUUAUACCUGAGAACCAGGGUUUACAAAAUGUAUGCUAUUAUGUUUGAUCACCGAGUAGGCUUAUGCAGUUUGCAUAGUGUGUUUGCGAUUUUCCUUGGAAAAUUAAUUAGACUUGUUGAUCAAAUUGAAAAUCUCGAAAACAUUAUGAUUACUUUGGCAGACGAGAUUAAAUAGUGAUAAUAAAAGAACCGUUACAUAUUUCGGAAACUUUUUCCAUCCCUGGGCACUAAAGUUACACAUGAGAUGAGUUCCACUUUGGACCAAAAAGAGCCCUCCACGCAGACUUCCAGUCCUGGCUACGGGCUUGCUUGAUAGUGUUUGGCCACAAAGAUACAGAAUUUAGUGGUUGACCAGACUGCGUUUCUCUAGCACAAAACAGAAGGGUUCAGGCAGGUACCACAUUUAAUCACCUUACAGUGAUGGACAGUGGAAAUGUGAAAUUUGUGACAAAGUCCUGCACACUAAUUCAGGGUAUAGAAGGCACAUGCAAGGCCACUCUGGACUUAACCGAAACUACCAUUGUGAUCUAUGCCUGAAAGUGUUUCACUGGAAAGACAGUCUUUUGCGACACAGAAAAAUUGUUCAUCCUCAUGACAGUUAAAUCAGCCUCUGUGCAAAAGCUGCCCGAGCAUUCUAACAAACAAAAAAAUAAAAUUAAUCAGGGUUUUUUGAUGAUAUUUUAGACUAUUGCUUUCACCUAGUUCUGGAGAAAAUAUUUACUGCAGUGCUUUAUAAAAUUAGUGAUGUUGUUUAACAUUAUUAAACACCCUUUGUAUAUAAAAAAAAGGUUUAAGUGUGAUUAAAUCCAAUUAUUAAUGAUUUAAAUGCUGCUUCAUAUGAAAAUAAGUGUUUUGUCAGAGAAGUGGAUUUUAAUCUAUAAUUUAUAUAAUAAACUUCCUUCAAGCUGCAAUUAUCCAAAAUGAGGCUUAUAAUAAAAAUGUAUUUUCAGAGAAGUCAGUUUUAAUAUAUCAUUUAUAAAAUGAAUUCUUCUCAAGUUUCAGUUAGUCGAAAUGAAGUAUAUAAGUAAUGGAAAAAAAUAAUGCUUGAGGGUAAGAUGCAACCCAUUAACUAAAAAAAAAAAAAUUCUAAAGUUACAGCAUUUAUUUAAAGAUGAAAAUUAAGUCUAAUUGUCAAGAGAACUUUGGUUGUGACUGUCUUUAUUUAGGCUUAUAAAUGCAAUUGUGAUAAUCUAUUCCUUAAAUAAAUCAAACUGUUAUUUUUCCAUCAUAUGAAGUGUGUAUAAUUAUUUUAAUAUAUAUUACUUAUUUUUGCAAGCAUAUAAAAUGUUGUGCAUGUAAAUUAGGAAAAAAAGUUUAACUUGACAAUUGGUAAUGUAGAAACUGAAGUUAAUGAAUUAUUUUUUUAUUUAGAAAUCAAGAGAAAGGAAUUAGAACAUAAUGAUAACACUGUGUAUUUAUGAAGUUAAUUUUUAUAUUGUAAAACUUCAUUAAAGAUUUUUAUUUAAGUAAUCAUGUCGUAAUUGAAUUACAUUGCUUAUCUCUCUAUCAAUUAUCCCUUUUCAUUUGUAGCAAUAGCCAUCCAUAAACCUUAAUUCACAGUCAUCCAUAUGUUGAUGAAAUUUAAACAUUCAAGUUUACAUCUAAAAAAACUUACUUAACAUUGUUUUCUCAAUGUCACUUUGUCUUGAUUUGAAUUGCUGUAUAACAAGGUUCAAUAAAUUUGUUAUAAUAAAUUUGGUUUGAUUAUAAUGAAUAAAAUAUUAAAUAGUAGAAAGCACUAGUCAGAAUUAUUAUAAGCUGGAAGUAACAUUUACUUAUUUUAUAUAAAUUAUGCAAUAGUAUACAAGCACAUCAAUCACUAGGUGUAAAAUAAUUUUUCCUUAAUAAGCAAGUUUCAGUUUCUUUUUGGUUGAAUAAAUUUAAUUAUUUUUAGGUAAUCUCCAGUGGACUGUCCAGAGUUUUCAUCCUACUCCUCUGAAACAACGUCGGGAGCUUUACAACUGUACAAUAUGUGGAAAAAGUUUCAAGGCAAAGAAGUAUUUGGAUCAGCAUUUACACAGUCAUACAGUACGGUCAUUUGAAUGCCCUCGAUGUUUGUUGAGGUUUCGUUGGAAGAAAAACUACAUGUAUCAUGUCAAUAAGAAUGUUUGUCAACCUCACUGGUCUUCGACACUUGGUUGUAUAAAUUAGUACCGAUGUAAUAAAAAAUAGUCAUGUUACAUGAAGAUUCACCUGAAAAAAAAAACUAUUAUUUUAUGAAGAGUUUCAUCAACAUAGUCUCACUUCUUGUUUGUACAAAUUUGAUAUCAGUAUUUUGUUAUAGUUUAGUCAUCUAUGUACCUGUGGGGAGUGGCUGUACAGGUGUUUUCUAAGUUAUCAUAUCCUUCAGUUGGUCUUUGAAACUGUUGUACAUAUAAAAAACAGCAAUGAUGUUUUAGUACAUGAUUGUACAGAUUACAUUUUCUGUUUUGUUUAGUUUAUUAUUUAAUAGUUUUUGAAGAUUCAUCACAACUUGAGUGUAUGAAUUACUACCAGUAUUUUGUGUGUUUGUUCAGAAAUUUUGAUGCAUUGUUUUAUUAGUCAUCAGCAAAGAUAAUUUACAUCAUGGUUAUGGCUAGUUAUGAGGUCACCGAGGUCCAGACCUUGGUUAAAAUUUGAAAUUAAAUGUAAUGUACUCUUUAAUUUUAAACCAAUAUGGAAGAGGUAUACAAUAUAUUAGGCUGACCCCUAUGUGCGUAUUGGUGUUUGGACCUCUGGAAAAUUUUCACUCUAGCUAUGGCCAUGUUUCACAUUAGUUGAUUUUUUUAAGAGUAUGAUCUCUUUUUUGUACAUACAUAAUAAUUAAUUCCUUGUAGUGCUCAUCAAAAGUAUUUAUAUAAUUACUGCAUCUGUUAUAAAAAAUUAUAGAUUUUUUUUUAUGAUAAAUAGGGUACACUGACAUCUUGAUAAAGAGAAUUACUUUAACACAGAUUAACUACAUGAAAAUGUUCUCUGAAAACAAAAGUUGUUACAACUAUUGUGUAACGUUUAUAUAUGUGUGUGUGUGUGAAAUAAAGUGAAUAGGUAACAUCAGAUGCUUUUAGCACCAUUAGUAGAUAAACUUAACUACCAAGCAUAAUUUUUGAAAAGAUUAAUUACAACAAUGGUAAAAAAAUUUAACAUUUUAUUCUGGUUGUUUUAGAUUAUAUUUAUUCUACUUUCAGCAAUGUACUUUGAAAACUACUAGGUUAUUGCAUUUUGGAAAACUAGGAAAAACACAAAUAGAUAAAUCUGUGGAUUCUCACAUGUACUGGGUGCCCUCCCAAGCCUGUCAAUUAGUAUUUCGAUGUCCUGUUUGUAAAAAAGAUUUCAAAGCUCGUAGGAACUUGAAGCAACACAUGCAAGGCCACGGAGAACAACUUCAUUGUCCCAAGUGCUUUAUGAAUUUUAGAUGGAAGUGUAACCUGUCCUACCACACACGUCACCGUUGUCCUUACAGAAAUACAACAGUUGACGAGAAAUGAUGUCUUCUUUUUUUUUUAAUUAUUUAUUUCAUAAGGUGCUAAAUGUGCAAAACACCAUCCAUAGGUUGGAAGUUGAAAUUUUAUUUGUUAUUGUUGAUAAUAGCCUUGAACAUUUCCCAUGAUGUGUAUUAUUUAUGAAAUGAAUAGUCAUUGGGUACUGUUUCUGGACAAGCUGAAUUGAUAUAUAUGUUUCUGCAGACAAAUAACAAGUGGUUCUUGUUAAUAAAAUUUGUUUUUAUAAUUAUGUAAGUAUGGCUCAUUGUAUCUUGGAUUAGGUAAAAUAUGGUGUUAACUGUGGUUUUGUAAGAAGAAAAAUCAAGAUUAUUUAAAAAUAAAGGUUAGUUUAUUUUAGUAGUGUUGUUAAUUACUUAUACUAGUAUAAUUAUUUUGAAAAAGUGUGCAGAUAUUUUUAUGUGUGAAUUUUUCACAGGCUUUGGAUUUGUACCUUUUAAUUAACUUAGCCAUUUUUGGAAAAUGUGAAUUAUGGUUAGAAAAAGCAAGUUUGUAAUGGCAAUAUCUGGUAAUCUGUAUUAUUCAGUGUCCACAAUAUUAGAUGAAUAAGAAGUUUUGUGCUAUUUAUUGAAUAAAUACCUUUUUUUUUUACUUCAUACAACUCUAAGGACAUACCUUUGUGUGUGCUAGGUAAACAGAAAUGACAGCUUGACUGUUCACAGAAUAUGUUAGUAGUAGCCAUUUGUGUUUGGGUACAAAGUGUUUUGGUAGUCAAAUAUGCUACUUCAAAUACAAUCAUUCAUGACAUCAUAAAGUGUGUAUACAUAUCUAAAAACUAAAAUUUAUUCUUGUAUACUAAGUGCCAGAUCUGUAAUCCAUUAUUUUGAAAAUUACUGGAUAAAAAAUGAAAGUGUAUAGACCCUUACCAGAGUUACUGUCUCUGUUUUUACUUGUGAAAAUGUGUAUUCAGAAGUUUGAUGUUAAUGAACUUGUACUGGUUGUUAUUGGAUAAAAAAUGAAAGUGUAUAGACCCUUACCAGAGUUACUGUCUCUGUUUUUACUUGUGAAAAUGUGUAUUCAGAAGUUUGAUGUUAAUGAACUUGAAAUAUUCUAACAGAAAAGGUAGAUUUUUGAAUCUGUAUGUACUGUGGUGUAAACAGUUCUCUCAAAAUAAAGCAUUGAUGAUAGAUUUCAAAAUAAACAAUAUAUAUAUUUAUUAAUGAGUAUUAACAUCCAAGAAAAAAAGGGAAUCAGUACGGGAAAAGAACAGCUAUAUAAUCUAUGAAAUUCUCUCAUAUGUGUUAUUGUGUGGUAGAUAAAAUGUUGAUGACAGUUUAGAUGGUAAUACUAUAUAUUAUAUUUAUUUCAGGAUUUUAUUUAAUGCACUUUGCUGCGACGUAACAUGUUUUUCUACCAUAGUUAUGUGUUCAGUCGUAUUCAACACACGCUUAUUACUAAGAGUUUUGAUUAACGGAAGGGGCUUUUCAAUAAUCCCCCCCCCCCCCAAAAAAAAAAACGUAAUGGACUAAAACUUAAAAAUGAAAGGUAUGGGGUUAUAGUAAAACUAAUUUUUUUAUUUUGAGUUAAAAAGUAAUGUUGUUAAAAUAUCAUUUGCUUUAAGAAACUUUAAUUUGCUUUAUACAAUGUUUUGAAAUGUAUGCAAUGUAAUAAGAUCACUGAUGAACUGUCCCCCAUAGUUAGAUUUGACUUCAAUAUAAUAAUAACAUAAGAGGCCUUUCUGUUACAAAAAAGGAUUGAAAUUUCGUUCUUAUAAGACGAGUUUUUUGUGUUUUUUUU
RNAcentral lists this long non-coding RNA (5495 nucleotides) under Limulus polyphemus (Atlantic horseshoe crab). Its description in RNAcentral is "uncharacterized LOC111088421". Lineage: Eukaryota; Metazoa; Arthropoda; Merostomata; Xiphosura; Limulidae. The record is from RNAcentral.